CACUGAAGCACCGGUUCUCGUAUGAUCAAUGAAGUUAAGAAAUAUCGUGCCUGGUCAGUACCAAGAUGGGCGACCGCUUGGGAAUAUCAGAUGCUGUAAGC
Non-coding RNA from Acanthosepion pharaonis, 101 nucleotides. NCBI's taxonomy places the organism in Eukaryota, Metazoa, Mollusca, Cephalopoda, Sepiida, Sepiidae. The record is from the annotation of a GenBank genome assembly.